UAAGGGCUGACCACCACUAAGGUAGCAUCUCUUCCUGGAGAUUGCACCUGUGUGGAGUUUUUGUGGUGAAUUUCAACACUGGUGCGUAUCCACCUCAACCGCAGGCCUUAGUGUUGAUGUGAAGAAAUGAGUUACUGGUGCAGUUGCUCUGAAUUAGCAACAAAUGUAAAAUGCCUAUUUUCACUGAAUGAAAAUCUGUACCAAGUUUCUGUGGACUCCUCUGAAUAGUGGAAGCUUGUCAGGCAGUGGGCUGCUCAUAUCAGCUCUGAAGCCAGCAAGAGCCAUUUCCAACCAGACCCAGCAGCACCUUACCUCUCCCAUACUGGUACCCAGUACCUCCUGCUACUUAUUCACUGUCUGUCCACGCCCAGCAUGGUGCACUGUUGCAUAAGAGACAUGUCUGAGGAUUACUGUAUCCAUUAUCACUGUUACCAUCCGCAUCCCUAUAGUCAUAACUAAUUGAACUGCUCUACCUUUAAAGUAGAACACCAGGGUAAUCCUCUCAACAGUGGGUUACAUGCAAUACUGGAAUCAUCACUGCCCGUUAGAUCUGGCUACAGGGCUUACUGCUGUCACAGACUGAUUUUUUAAUCUGCUACAAACUCAACCAUGUGUCCCUGGAAAACAACUUACUGAGGUUUUAUAUUAUGCAUGUCAUUAUCAAUGUGUCAACGGUUUAUGGGCUGAUUUGGCACUGCGUCUUAUUUAUAGCUGAGAAGGAAUAAUUUUCUUCAGAAUUUUUAGUAUUAUGCAGUUUUGGUAUUGGUUCUAGAAGAAAAAACAAUUUUCAAAAUGCAUCAAUGUUUACAGCUUUUUGCUAAGCCAUGGUCAUUUACAGAGUAGGGCCCAAGGAGCUGGGAGGGAAUUAGAGACAGUUUACCUGAACUGCCAAGGGGGUAUUCCAUAUCAUAUGACAACAAGUGCAAGAAGUUUUUAAGGCACUGGGAAUUUAUCCCACUCUCUUAUAUUUCAGGUGCUUUCUAGAUGGGCAUUGGUUGAGGGUGGUGAUCAUUUGUUAUUUACAUUUAUAAAUAUUUAUGAUUGUAAAUGUUUUCCUUUCCUUUUCUCUAUCUUAGUAAACAGUUUAUCUCUUCCACAA
This is a long non-coding RNA of Coturnix japonica (Japanese quail), 1099 nucleotides long. RefSeq lists it as uncharacterized. The record is from RefSeq and is a predicted model, not a curated record. Lineage: Eukaryota; Metazoa; Chordata; Aves; Galliformes; Phasianidae.